UGGGGAAUAUUGCACAAUGGGCGCAAGCCUGAUGCAGCCAUGCCGCGUGUAUGAAGAAGGCCUUCGGGUUGUAAAGUACUUUCAGCGAGGAGGAAGGCGGUAAGGUUAAUAACCUUAUCGAUUGACGUUACUCGCAGAAGAAGCACCGGCUAACUCCGUGCCAGCAGCCGCGGUAAUAAGGAGGGUGCAAGCGUUAAUCGGAAUUACUGGGCGUAAAGCGCACGCAGGCGGUCUGUCAAGUCGGAUGUGAAAUCCCCGGGCUCAACCUGGGAACUGCAUUCGAAACUGGCAGGCUAGAGUCUUGUAGAGGGGGGUAGAAUUCCAGGUGUAGCGGUGAAAUGCGUAGAGAUCUGGAGGAAUACCGGUGGCGAAGGCGGCCCCCUGGACAAAGACUGACGCUCAGGUGCGAAAGCGUGGGGAGCAAACA
This 427-nucleotide ribosomal RNA is filed under the name uncultured bacterium. RNAcentral describes it as "partial 16S ribosomal RNA". It matches the Rfam family "Bacterial small subunit ribosomal RNA", at positions 355 to 774 of the family's 1533-position model. The record is from RNAcentral.